RNAcentral lists this ribosomal RNA (164 nucleotides) under uncultured bacterium. RNAcentral's name for it is "partial 16S ribosomal RNA". It matches the Rfam family "Bacterial small subunit ribosomal RNA", at positions 355 to 511 of the family's 1533-position model. The record is from RNAcentral.
UAGGGAAUCUUCCACAAUGGGCGAAAGCCUGAUGGAGCAACGCCGCGUGUGUGAAGAAGGGUUUCGGCUCGUAAAACUCUGUUGUUAAAGAAGAACAUAUCUGAGAGUAACUGUUCAGGUAUUGACGGUAUUUAACCAGAAAGCCACGGCUAACUACGUGCUAG